Small nuclear RNA from Peromyscus maniculatus bairdii (prairie deer mouse), 107 nucleotides. The record is from Ensembl. NCBI's taxonomy places the organism in Eukaryota, Metazoa, Chordata, Mammalia, Rodentia, Cricetidae.
AUGCUCACUUUGGCAGCACAUUUACAAAAAUUGAAAUGACACAGAGAAGAUUAACAUGGACCCUGUUCAAGGAUAACAUGCAAAUUUGUGAAGCUUUCCAUAUUUUU